AACGAACGCUGGCGGCAUGCCUAACACAUGCAAGUCGAACGAGACCUUCGGGUCUGGUGGCGCACGGGUGCGUAACGCGUGGGAACCUGCCCUUAGGUUCGGAAUAACGCCCCGAAAGGGGUGCGAAUACCGGAUAAUGUCUUCGGACCAAAGAUUUAUCGCCCUUGGAUGGGCCCGCGUUGGCUUAGCUAGUUGGUAGGGUAAAAGCCUACCAAGGCGACGAUCCAUAGCUGGUCUGAGAGGAUGAUCAGCCACACUGGGACUGAGACACGGCCCAGACUCCUACGGGAGGCAGCAGUGGGGAAUAUUGGACAAUGGGCGAAAGCCUGAUCCAGCAAUGCCGCGUGAGUGAUGAAGGCCUUAGGGUUGUAAAGCUCUUUUACCCGGGAUGAUAAUGACAGUACCGGGAGAAUAAGCUCCGGCUAACUCCGUG
This 433-nucleotide ribosomal RNA is filed under the name uncultured bacterium. RNAcentral's name for it is "partial 16S ribosomal RNA". It matches the Rfam family "Bacterial small subunit ribosomal RNA", at positions 29 to 507 of the family's 1533-position model. The record is from RNAcentral.